GCAAAAAGGUAUGAACUUGAACUUUGAACUACCUAGAAAUCAAUAUUUAUUACAGCAAAAAAUGGACCAUUACGGCAGAAGUAAUGCACUAAUCAAAUCAGCUAUGACAACUAAAGUGUUUUCUGAUAAAAAAGACUUCAGAGAGAGAAGAUGAAAAAAAAAACUAACUUCAUUUUUCUGACAGAAGACCUUCGGUAAAACUGGAACCUCUGCUAAGAAUGUAAUGGCAAUUAAACUGUGCAUAUCUGUAUAACAAAAAGCAGAAAGGAAAACAAAAAUGCCCUUCUCUUCAUCUUCUUCAUCUUUAUUAGGAGAUGGUUUUCUGCUUGGGUAUAUACUUUAACUUGACACCUUUCUCAGACUUUGUUCUGAUCUUGGCUUUACUGGCUCCAGUGAUCGAAGAUUCAUGUACCCCCACAUCAACCAACUGAUUCUCCACAUUGCCAAGAAGACCGCAUUUUUUAAUAUCUGAUGACCCAGCUACACCUAUUAGACAGUCAUUCUUAAUCUCCAUACAUUCUGAAGAUUCUAAGUCUGGACAUAGAACCAAUUUGACAUGUUCAGCUGCAAUUGCCUCCUUCCACCUCUCUGCAAGAAAUGCUUUUGCUGCUUGGCAUGAGAACUGCAAGCUUCCUGGAUGCAGUAUCUCCAGCAGAAGUGGGAAACUGUUCCCUGUUAUGCCAUUGUUGUCAUCCACAGAACACGAACUAAGACAGUUUCCUUCAGCUGGUGUAUGAUCAUCUCCCUUAUCAGCGAUCCCAUCAACUUGAAAUUCUCUAGCUCCAUUUUCAACCAAUAUUAGAUCUUUGGUUCCAUUUCUACUCACAGGCCUCCAAAGCUUUAUUGUUGACCGAUUUGUGCUGGAGUGAGAAGAAUCAGGUCUAUUGUGCUUAUCAUAAACAUUGUUUUUCUUUGGCAUUUGAUGCUCUGACAGAAAAUCAUCUCUAGCUCCAUCAAAAUUGUGAACCUCAUGUUGGCUGCAGUUUCCAAGUGUAACAGAUAUAGAACCAAUCAGAACCUCAUGCUUCUUAUUGUGAUCUGGCAGGCUUAUUGCUUCUUUCUGCGCUCUAGUUUUCAAACUGUCAACAAGAUAAUCUGGUUUAGGUUUUCGGCUCCACUUUCUGUUGCCAUUGAUUGAAUGCACUGGUUUUGAGUCCCUGUGAUUUCCAUGCUUCUGCAUGCCGCCAAGUUUUGGUGCCUGAGAAUUCAGACUUGCAUGGAAACCAUUUGGCACAUAAUUCCAUUGUGACUUUGGAGACAACAGCCAGCGACUGGCUGAGUGCCUACGACCAUUUCUUUGUAUUGCCUGCCUUUCAACAUUAUGACUAGUGCCAGGAUCACUGCCAGACCCUGUCUGAAUUUCCAAAUCCACAUCUUCAUCCAUGCUUGGCAGUUGGAAAGGUUCAAAAGAUGAGGGAACAUGAUCUGGCAGUGCCUCCAGACCAUUCACACUAGAAUCAGAUGGAAUCAAAGGGAAUUGCUCAGUUGAAGACACAGUCUCCACUGUAUCAUCAAUCCACUCCUUGAGAUCAGCCUGCUCCUCUUGCCUUUGCUCUUUAGCUUUCUGUUCUUUCUGCCUGAGUUUUUUCUGCCUCUUCUUCUCCAAGAGCUCAGCUUGUCUUCUCUGAGCAGCUUCUUCCUCCUCCACCAGCAACUGUUGGCACCUUAAAGCUUCAGCAUCCUUGUCAGCAAGCCAUGCUUUAACCAAUUUCUGUUCCACCAGAAAGCUGGUGCAAGCAACUAAAUUCUUUGUUUCGAGACCAAUCUUCCCAGCUUCCCCAUCAAAAAUAUAUUUUUGCAUUGAUACAGCUGUUCCACUUCCACACAGGAAUGUCUUUUCACUGGCGUCAUCAAGGAUGCUGAAUAGUUCUUCAGAAGGCAAAGGAAACCUUGAAGGCCUAGCCUGGAUGAUAUCCAAAAGGGCAGAACCAGCCCUCAAACAAUGUUGUGGAAGGGAAGAAAAUCCAGGUUUCCGAAUAAGUGCCAUCAUUGACUUUAUAAUUGAAGAGCCUGGAACUUCCUAGUGGGUAAUUACAACAAAUGAAACAGUUGUUUAUACAAUAGUCAAGAACAUGCAUGAAUUAUGAAUUUAAGAUUUAUGUUACUACUUACUGCAUUUUCUAAGAAGAAAAAAGUAAACCAUCCAGUACCAAUCAAUACUGCAAUCAUUCCGAACUAUAGUAACAAAAGAAUUUCAAGAGCAACUCCUAAUCCAGAUAAUGAUUAACAACAAAUAAAGAUAUAGAAAAGAAAAGGCAUUCAGCUUAUAUCAUCAAACUAAACCAACAUCCCAAAUUGAUAAGUAAUACAGCGACACAGAUAUUCAUAUCCAGUAAACUAGAUAUGCUACUAGAAGUUUUACUCAUGCAAACAGAUGCAGCAUAUGAAUAAAAUACCUCCAGUGUCACAUCCUUGAAUGAUAAAAUUUCCUUUGCCUCAUCCUCAGAAAGCUUAUCCCAAAAGGUUCCCAAUAGAUCCCUAUUUUUGGAAGAACCCUUGUCAAGUUUUUUUAAUCGAUGUUGUACACGUAUGUGCCUUCUGUAGUUAAUAGAUGAACAGAACUCUCUAGAACACUUUUCACACUUUUGCAUCUGCACCUUCAAAGGAGUGAGCAAAGGCCAACCUGGGAGAUCUUGCUGAUCUAGUGCAUGUAAUAAUUGGAUCCACUGUACUGGGCUAUCACCAGGCCUUGAGAAAGAAAGAAAGGGCUCUUUUCCAAUUGCCUGCCUGAUAAAUGUGUCUAGGGAAUCAUUUCCAUCCUCUGUUUUCAUCACAUCUGUGUUGUUUGAGGCCUUGAGUUUUGCAACUGGCAUUUAUGCACACAAAAAGCAAACCUAGCAGCUCACUGAAAGCCACUGUACAAAAGACCAAUGCUCAUAUUAAAAUCCUGCAAACAAGCACUCUAUGAAUGCACAAAGAAAAAUGUAAUUUGUAAGAAUCUCUUUAAUGUCACAAUUUAUUGAACUAAUGUAAAGAUGAAUGCAUCAUCUUACAAUGAAGAAUUGGCAACAAAAGCUACAUAGAGUCUCCAAACUCUGUUAUGAUCUCACAAAGACUCUGAAAUACUAACAUAAUUUUUCAUGGAAAAUGUUCUCUUUCUCCCUCUCUAUUUGUGUUGAAAAAUGCAAGUGCUAAGAACUCAAUUGUAUGCCUCACACUGAAAAUUGCAACGAAGAAUCUAAUUGUAACAUUUUACACGUAUAAACAAUACCCUAUCUGUCUACCGAGACAUCCAAAUUACCACCAAACUUCUAUAGUUAGCUCACACACUAAAGAAAUACAUAAUAAAGACUAGACAUUGAAAUUUUUCCUACACUUCUUGUUCAUACUUUUUUUGUUAAAUUUUUUAUUUUUAUGUGGCUGCAUGUCCACCGACAUUGAAAUUUUUCUACACUUUUUUUUCAUAUUGUUUCUUUUUUUCUUUUUUAUGUGGCUGCACAUCCACCAACUGCCAGCUGCACUCCACUUACUGCACUGAUUUAUUCUAUCUUUUUCCACAGAACAAAUUCUGAAGAUAACAAGUCAUUUUGCCUAUAAACUACAAGGCCUAUUAAGAGGGCACAUCCAUAUCCAACUCAGAAUUCUAUAAAUAGUGCAAGCGUGAGCGCAAGACAGGCAUUUUCAUUCCUACAUUGUGGUAUAAUAGAAAGUUAAUGAGUCCAGUUGCAUCUACUCAAAUAAUGAUAUAAGUUCCUAGUUCAGAGAAGCAAACACACAAAGCUAUCUUCCUGCUUCCUUAUAGCUUCAGGAAACAAGUUGAAAAACUUGAUUAUACAAAAAAAAUAACCAACAUAUUCCACCAAAUGUAAGCGGCAGCUACCUAUUACAUAGAAAGACCUUAUAAGGAUGGAAACUAGAUAUGAAUUAACAGUUCCAUAACAAUAACAAACUAGCCAAUACAAACAGAUAAAGAUCAAAUCUUUAAAACCAAUAUGGAGUCCAGCAUUGUCAAACUCCAAAA
This 3961-nucleotide unclassified non-coding RNA is filed under the name Hevea brasiliensis (rubber tree). The record is from RNAcentral. Lineage: Eukaryota; Viridiplantae; Streptophyta; Magnoliopsida; Malpighiales; Euphorbiaceae.